Long non-coding RNA from Callithrix jacchus (white-tufted-ear marmoset), 696 nucleotides. RefSeq lists it as uncharacterized. The record is from RefSeq and is a predicted model, not a curated record. NCBI's taxonomy places the organism in Eukaryota, Metazoa, Chordata, Mammalia, Primates, Cebidae.
AGAAAAAGAGGAGAGAAGGAGAGGAAGAAAGAGGAAGAAAAAGAGGGAGAGAGAACAGGAAUAUUGUUUCAUUCUAAAAAUGGGCAGAAGCUUUGCCAGCCUUUCCCAGGGUGUGCUAUUGUGUUGCACUUUUCCUGCUGGAGCCCUGGCUGCUGCACGUUCCAUGGAGACUCCAAUGCACAGGGAACAGAAGUCUCCUCCUUUAUUGCAGAAAUUAUCCGGAAAGUGACACUGAGCAUGAUCUGCUUCCAAAAUGCCACACCACAUGCCCAGCUCUCUCUGCCAGCUGUCCUGGCCUCCAGCAACCCCGCCUCAGCAUCCCCGUGGGAGUUUCAUGCAGAGAGCUUGCAAUAAUCAAACAGGAAGGGGAUGCAAGGCGAUCAGUACGUGGAUUUGACAAUGACAAAGUGGUUCACUCAGAUUCAAGGAUAUCAAAGAAAGGCCUAAGUACCUGAGAUCUCAUUUCAAAUCAGUUUGGAUGGUUACAUUUCACUGAGGUUGGGAACACAGAUAAUCAGAUCUGCUCCAGCAUUGCUCUAAUUUAGUUAAAAACAUUUCUAUCAAGGACAGGUGUACCAUGAAGUUACCGAGGCUUGAGCUUCAGGGACCCUGAUUCCAGGCCCAUCCUCAGGUCCUGGGGGGCACCCUGCAAUGUGUUUCUGUUCAUUCGAAGCAAAUAUACACGAUUAUUCCUUA